Molecule: ribosomal RNA, 551 nt
Filed under: Chelonus (Microchelonus) sp. RK107
Lineage: Eukaryota; Metazoa; Arthropoda; Insecta; Hymenoptera; Braconidae
Description: eukaryotic LSU rRNA
Rfam family: Eukaryotic large subunit ribosomal RNA
Source: RNAcentral
AGGAAAUCAUCGUCAGUCUUCGGUAUUCAUACCAAGUCACGUACGGUAAUCAUCCUCGCGGUUCUAGAGCCGUACAUCUCGGCGUUAUUUUUGCCUUAUACGUCGGCGCGCACUUCUCCUCUAGUAGAACGUCGCGACCCGUUAAAUCGUUGAUCUAUGGCUCAGUUGAUCGCCUCUUUCUGCUUGCAGUAAGAAAUCAUUGAAGUUCCUGAUCAACUGUUUGACGGUACUCGUAUGAUAUUAAGUCGCUGUUAUAGCGUUAAAUUUAUCACAAGUGCGGUUAAUUUUCGACAGUUCGGACCUAGUGCCGACGUUGAAAUUGACCAACUGUUAGUUGAUAAUACUCUUUAACUGACUAAAUAUUGGUCAGCGACGCUACUGCUUUGGGUACUUUCAGGACCCGUCUUGAAACACGGACCAAGGAGUCUAACAUGUACGCAAGUCAUUGGGAUUUUAAAACAAACCUAAAGGCGUAAUGAAGGUAAAGAUUGUCGUAUGACAAUUCAGGGAAGAUAGGUCUUAUUACGAUAUGAUCUCGCAUUCCCGGGGCA